Molecule: ribosomal RNA, 466 nt
Filed under: uncultured bacterium
Lineage: Bacteria
Description: partial 16S ribosomal RNA
Rfam family: Bacterial small subunit ribosomal RNA
Source: RNAcentral
GACGAACGCUGGCGGCGCGCCUAACACAUGCAAGUCGAACGAGCGAGAGGGAGCUUGCUUUCUCGAGCGAGUGGCGAACGGGUGAGUAACGCGUGAGGAACCUGCCUCAAAGAGGGGGACAACAGUUGGAAACGACUGCUAAUACCGCAUAAGCCCACGGUGCCGCAUGGCACAGAGGGAAAAGGAGCAAUCCGCUUUGAGAUGGCCUCGCGUCCGAUUAGCUAGUUGGUGAGGUAAUGGCCCACCAAGGCGACGAUCGGUAGCCGGACUGAGAGGUUGAACGGCCACAGUGGGACUGAGACACGGCCCAGACUCCUACGGGAGGCAGCAGUGGGGAAUAUUGCACAAUGGGGGAAACCCUGAUGCAGCGACGCCGCGUGGAGGAAGAAGGUCUUCGGAUUGUAAACUCCUGUUGUUGGGGAAGAUAAUGACGGUACCCAACAAGGAAGUGACGGCUAACUACGUG